This 430-nucleotide ribosomal RNA is filed under the name Pseudomonadota bacterium. RNAcentral describes it as "Proteobacteria bacterium partial 16S ribosomal RNA". It matches the Rfam family "Bacterial small subunit ribosomal RNA", at positions 355 to 776 of the family's 1533-position model. The record is from RNAcentral. Lineage: Bacteria; Pseudomonadati; Pseudomonadota.
UGGGGAAUAUUGGACAAUGGGCGAAAGCCUGAUCCAGCCAUGCCGCGUGUGUGAAGAAGGCCUUUUGGUUGUAAAGCACUUUAAGCGAGGAGGAGGCUACUAGUACUAAUACUACUGGAUAGUGGACGUUACUCGCAGAAUAAGCACCGGCUAACUCUGUGCCAGCAGCCGCGGUAAUACAGAGGGUGCGAGCGUUAAUCGGAUUUACUGGGCGUAAAGCGUGCGUAGGCGGCUGAUUAAGUCGGAUGUGAAAUCCCUGAGCUUAACUUAGGAAUUGCAUUCGAUACUGGUCAGCUAGAGUAUGGGAGAGGAUGGUAGAAUUUCCUGUGUAGCGGUGAAAUGCGUAGAUAUAGGAAGGAACACCAGUGGCGAAGGCGACCACCUGGGCUCAUACUGACACUGAGGUGCGAAAGCGUGGGGAGCAAACAGG